CCAAUAGCGUAUAUUAAAGUUGUUGCAGUUAAAAAGCUCGUAGUUGAAUUUCGGGAUCAAUAUGUCGGUCGUGCCUUCGGUACGUACUGGCAUCAUUGGUUUCUCCCUUCUGACAAACCAUGAUGUCAUUAAUUUGGUGUUAUGGGGAGUUAGGACUGUUACUUUGAAAAAAUUAGAGUGUUUAAAGCAGGCAUUAGCUUGAAUACAUUAGCAUGGAAUAAUGAAAUAGGACGUUCGAUCCUAUUUUGUUGGUUUCUAGGAUCAACGUAAUGAUUAAUAGGGAUAGUUGGGGGCAUUAGUAUUCAAUUGUCAGAGGUGAAAUUCUUGGAUUUAUUGAAGACUAACUACUGCGAAAGCAUUUGCCAAGGAUGUUUUCAUUAAUCAAGAACGAAAGUUAGGGGAUCGAAGACGAUCAGAUACCGUCGUAGUCUUAACCAUAAACUAUGCCGACUAGGGAUCGGAUGAUGUUAAUUUUUUAAUGACUCAUUCGGCGCCUUACG
This 500-nucleotide ribosomal RNA is filed under the name uncultured Glomeromycotina. Its description in RNAcentral is "SSU rRNA". It matches the Rfam family "Eukaryotic small subunit ribosomal RNA", at positions 591 to 1092 of the family's 1831-position model. Lineage: Eukaryota; Fungi; Glomeromycota. The record is from RNAcentral.